RNAcentral lists this ribosomal RNA (902 nucleotides) under uncultured Gammaproteobacteria bacterium. RNAcentral's name for it is "bacterial SSU rRNA". It matches the Rfam family "Bacterial small subunit ribosomal RNA", at positions 48 to 962 of the family's 1533-position model. Lineage: Bacteria; Pseudomonadati; Pseudomonadota; Gammaproteobacteria. The record is from RNAcentral.
CCUACACAUGCAAGUCGAACGGCAGCAUAAGAGAGCUUGCUCUCUUGAUGGCGAGUGGCGGACGGGUGAGUAAUGUAUAGGGAUCUGCCCAGUAGUGGGGGACAACAGCCGGAAACGGCUGCUAAUACCGCAUACGCUCUACGGAGGAAAGCGGGGGACCUUUCGGGGCCUCGCGCUAUUGGAUGAACCUAUAUCAGAUUAGCUAGUUGGUGGGGUAAUGGCCUACCAAGGCAACGAUCUGUAGCUGGUCUGAGAGGAUGAUCAGCCACACUGGGACUGAGACACGGCCCAGACUCCUACGGGAGGCAGCAGUGGGGAAUAUUGGACAAUGGGGGAAACCCUGAUCCAGCAAUGCCGCGUGUGUGAAGAAGGCCUGCGGGUUGUAAAGCACUUUCAGUAGGGAAGAUAAUGACGGUACCUACAAAAGAAGCACCGGCUAACUCCGUGCCAGCAGCCGCGGUAAUACGGAGGGUGCGAGCGUUAAUCGGAAUUACUGGGCGUAAAGCGCACGUAGGUGGUUUGGUAAGUCGGAUGUGAAAUCCCAGGGCUCAACCUUGGAAUUGCAUUCGAUACUGCCUCACUAGAGUCUAGCAGAGGGAUGGGGAAUUCCGGGUGUAGCGGUGAAAUGCGUAGAGAUCUGAAGGAACAUCAGUGGCGAAGGCGACUCACUGGGCCAUUACUGACGCUGAGGUGCGAAAGCGUGGGUAGCAAACAGGAUUAGAUACCCUGGUAGUCCACGCCCUAAACGAUGUCAACUAGGUGUGUGAAGAUAUAAUCUUUGCGUAUCGAAGCUAACGCGAUAAGUUGACCGCCUGGGGAGUACAGCCGCAAGGCUAAAACUCAAAUGAAUUGACGGGGGCCCGCACAAGCGGUGGAGCAUGUGGUUUAAUUCGAUGCACCGC